RNAcentral lists this ribosomal RNA (755 nucleotides) under uncultured bacterium. RNAcentral describes it as "bacterial SSU rRNA". It matches the Rfam family "Bacterial small subunit ribosomal RNA", at positions 748 to 1506 of the family's 1533-position model. The record is from RNAcentral.
CAUGUACGAAAGCGUGGGUAGCGAACAGGAUUAGAUACCCUGGUAGUCCACGCCCUAAACGAUGUCAACUGGUUGUUGGGGGAGUGAAAUCCCUUAGUUACGAAGCUAACGCGUGAAGUUGACCGCCUGGGGAGUACGGUCGCAAGAUUAAAACUCAAAGGAAUUGACGGGGACCCGCACAAGCGGUGGAUGAUGUGGAUUAAUUCGAUGCAACGCGAAAAACCUUACCUACCCUUGACAUGUCCGGAAUCCUGCAGAGAUGCGGGAGUGCUCGAAAGAGAACCGGAACACAGGUGCUGCAUGGCUGUUGUCAGCUCGUGUCGUGAGAUGUUGGGUUAAGUCCCGCAACGAGCGCAACCCUUAUCAUUAGUUGCUACGCAAGGGCACUCUAAUGAGACUGCCGGUGACAAACCGGAGGAAGGUGGGGAUGACGUCAAGUCCUCAUGGCCCUUAUGGGUAGGGCUUCACACGUCAUACAAUGGUCGGUACAGAGGGUUGCCAAGCCGCGAGGUGGAGCCAAUCCCAGAAAGCCGAUCGUAGUCCGGAUUGUUCUCUGCAACUCGAGAGCAUGAAGUCGGAAUCGCUAGUAAUCGCGGAUCGGCAUGUCGCGGUGAAUACGUUCCCGGGUCUUGUACACACCGCCCGUCACACCCUGGGAGUGGAAUCUGGCAGAAGUAGGUAGCCUAACCGCAAGGAGGGCGCUUACCACGCUGGGUUUCAUGACUGGGGUGAAGUCGUAACAAGGUAACCAAGGG